UAGGGCCUGUUUUAGUUCCUCCAUAUGAAAACUGGUAUCCUCGUUAGAAUUAAGAUUAUAUUUGCUAGGUUCAGAUUGCUGUUUGUUAGUUUUUUGCCUUUUUGAAAUGUUCUCCUUUUCUGGUGAAAAAAUUGCUGAAGAUUUGGCUUUUGUUGUUUGUGUUUCCAUAAUAACAGGAUCACUUGAAGAUUUCAGUUGCCUGGCCAUGUGGUCUUCGGAGUGGUAAAACUGUAUUCCGGCCUUGUCAGUCUCUGAAGUUUCAGCUUUUUUUCUUGCUAAGUGAAGAAGUAGCCAUCACUAAAGACCGGACUAGCUCAACCAUUACAAUUAAAAGCAAAGUUUUUUGGCACAGGAAUCAGACUGAGAGAACUCUGUGUACCUAACAGGAACAGCAAACAACCGAGUUUCUGAACAGUCAUUUGAGAGGACUGGAUGUUCAUUUUAAUUAAACAAAUGGACUUAUCUCCAUUUUAAGUGAAUGAAUUUCUCCUGCACUUUAGCUGCUCACUGCAGGAAUUUAAACAAAUGUGAUUUCUCCCUAUACCCAAGUAUAGAAAUGACACUGGCUGUUUUAUUUCUGCUGAGUCAUACCUGACUACAUGUUUGUAUGCUUCACGAUGUGAUUAUUAAAUUUUUAUCUUAACAGACAGAA
Molecule: long non-coding RNA, 652 nt
Organism: Protopterus annectens (West African lungfish)
Lineage: Eukaryota; Metazoa; Chordata; Ceratodontiformes; Protopteridae
Exons: 2
Source: RefSeq, a predicted model, not a curated record